GAGCUCACUUUGGCCACACAUAUGCUAAAAUUGGAACAAUACAGAGUAAAUUAGCAUGUCCCCUGCACAAGGAUGUCAUGCAAAUUUGUGAAGCAUUCCAUAUUUUU
Lemur catta (Ring-tailed lemur) is the source of this 107-nucleotide small nuclear RNA. The record is from RefSeq and is a predicted model, not a curated record. NCBI's taxonomy places the organism in Eukaryota, Metazoa, Chordata, Mammalia, Primates, Lemuridae.